Molecule: long non-coding RNA, 484 nt
Filed under: Zea mays
Lineage: Eukaryota; Viridiplantae; Streptophyta; Magnoliopsida; Poales; Poaceae
Description: long non-coding RNA (ZMAY_LNC004779)
Source: RNAcentral
UUAAAUCCUGCUUGAUCAAGUACUGCCCGAACAUUUUCUGACAUGAAGUCAACACCUAAAACUGUAAUAUAGUCACAUCCUGCUUCAAAGCUCAGAUCACAGACACACAGGUUCACAUUAAUAUAAAUUGUUUCCCCACAGGUAGAUAAUUCGAAAUACAUCCUACAAACAAUAAUUCAAGCUAAUUUAAUAGACUGUAAUAUAAAAUUAGCAAAAAACACUACAUGCAUCAGACAGGCAAUAGAGCGGAGACAAAUCACAGCAACCAUUUAGAAGAUACUACAAGGAGACAUUAACCACAUAAUCAGAUCUUCAAAGCUCAGAUCACAGACACACAGGUUCACAUUAUGUUCCAAAACUCUCAUCCAGGCACAGAGCAGUUUUCAAAUAACAUAAAACCUCUAUCACAUAAUCAUUGGUAGCAAAAACUAAAUAGAUGAGGAAAAGGCGGUACGACAACCAUCAGAUGACCGUGAAGAGCCUA